RNAcentral lists this ribosomal RNA (328 nucleotides) under Anaerolineae bacterium. Its description in RNAcentral is "bacterial SSU rRNA". It matches the Rfam family "Bacterial small subunit ribosomal RNA", at positions 1 to 322 of the family's 1533-position model. The record is from RNAcentral. Lineage: Bacteria; Bacillati; Chloroflexota; Anaerolineae.
UUUGCGGAGAGUUUGAUCCUGGCUCAGGAUGAACGCUGGCGGCGUGCCUAAUACAUGCAAGUCGAACGAGGUGCUUGAGUAGCAAUACGAGAGUAUCCUAGUGGCGAACGGGUGAGUAACGCGUGGAUGACCUGCCCCAAAGUGUGGGAUAACAGUCCGAAAGGAUUGCUAAUACCUCAUGUGGUUAUCGGUUUUAGAAAGCGAUAACUAAAGCAGCAAUGCGCUUUGGGAGGGAUCUGCGUCCCAUCAGCUAGUUGGUGAGGUAACGGCUCACCAAGGCGACGACGGGUAGGGGACCUGAGAGGGUGGCCCCCCACAAUGGAACUGA